GCGCCCGUAGCUCAGCCGGAUAGAGUGUCUGACUACGAAUCAGAAGGUCGUAGGUUCGAAUCCUGCCGGGCGCGCCA
RNAcentral lists this transfer RNA (77 nucleotides) under Peptococcaceae bacterium 1109. Its description in RNAcentral is "tRNA-Arg". It matches the Rfam family "tRNA". Rfam says of the family: Transfer RNA (tRNA) molecules are approximately 80 nucleotides in length. Their secondary structure includes four short double-helical elements and three loops (D, anti-codon, and T loops). Further hydrogen bonds mediate the characteristic L-shaped molecular structure. tRNAs have two regions of fundamental functional importance: the anti-codon, which is responsible for specific mRNA codon recognition, and the 3' end, to which the tRNAs corresponding amino acid is attached (by aminoacyl-tRNA synthetases). tRNAs cope with the degeneracy of the genetic code in two manners: having more than one tRNA (with a specific anti-codon) for a particular amino acid; and 'wobble' base-pairing, i.e. permitting non-standard base-pairing at the 3rd anti-codon position. The record is from RNAcentral. RNAcentral also lists the same sequence under 2 other names. Lineage: Bacteria; Bacillati; Bacillota; Clostridia; Eubacteriales; Peptococcaceae.